ACUGAUAUGAAAGCUUGCUCGGAUUUGAAGAUGAACAUUGCAAAGAGUGGCGAACGGGUGAGUAACACGUGGGAAACCUACCUCUUAGCGGGGGAUAACACUUGGAAACAAGUGCUAAUACCGCAUAAUACUGAUAACCGCAUGGUUAUCAGUUGAAAGAUGGUUCUGCUAUCACUAAGAGAUGGUCCCGCGGUGUAUUAGCUAGUUGGUAAGGUAAUGGCUUACCAAGGCAAUGAUACAUAGCCGAGUUGAGAGACUGAUCGGCCACAAUGGGACUGAGACACGGCCCAUACUCCUACGGGAGGCAGCAGUAGGGAAUCUUCCACAAUGGACGAAAGUCUGAUGGAGCAACGCCGCGUGUGUGAUGAAGGGUUUCGGCUCGUAAAACACUGUUGUAAGAGAAGAAUGACAUUGAGAGUAACUGUUCAGUGUGUGACGGUAUCUUACCAGAAAGGAACGGCUAAAUACGUGCCAGCAGCCGCGGUAAUACGUAUGUUCCAAGCGUUAUCCGGAUUUAUUGGGCGUAAAGCGAGCGCAGACGGUUGUUUAAGUCUGAAGUGAAAGCCCACAGCUUAACUGUGGAAGUGCUUUGGAAACUGGAUAACUUGAGUGCAGUAGAGGAGAGUGGAACUCCAUG
Molecule: ribosomal RNA, 637 nt
Filed under: Weissella minor
Lineage: Bacteria; Bacillati; Bacillota; Bacilli; Lactobacillales; Lactobacillaceae
Description: bacterial SSU rRNA
Rfam family: Bacterial small subunit ribosomal RNA
Source: RNAcentral